Molecule: non-coding RNA, 1705 nt
Organism: Varroa destructor (honeybee mite)
Lineage: Eukaryota; Metazoa; Arthropoda; Arachnida; Mesostigmata; Varroidae
Source: RefSeq, a predicted model, not a curated record
GAUACGUUCACCGUCGCUACAACAACUUGCUUGUAUUUCAAGAAUCGUAUACGAUAUAAUUCAACAGGAAACUUUAUUGAAGGAAGCUGCCUGAUGUAGUGAUUUAGUUAUUAUGUUUAAAUAAAUUGCGUGUUUUCUCAACAAUAAUUUUUAAUCCAACAACAAUAGAUGUGAAAGUGGCAUGAGAAUAAGUCUGCAUAAUCUGAAUAAGAAUGCAAUCAAAAGCAAUCAAAAACACAAAAAAAAUCUCGAACGGAUAAAGUUCUUUGCAAUUAGAAAAUGAUCACAUUCUCUCGGAAGUACCCAAUGGAUCCCCUGAAAAGUGGAGUUUUUUUUGCAUAGCAGGAUAUGCAUACUUUACUAUAAAUAAAAGCCGUUGAAACCGAAUGACGAGGAAGUCUGCAUAUCUAUUCUGUUAAAUAAGUACAGUAAGAACUAAUGUAAAUAUAUAUUGAAUUUCCAAUAUCUGUUUUUCGUUGCCUUCUCUCAUUUUAUUACCCUGUGAAACAUAAGGAGUCUUACCAUUGUCGCUUACAGUAACGGGAGCCGGUAAAUGCUGGUUGUUUUCAAAGUGUCGUGUCUCGUGUUCACUACCGACAAUAGUUCAACGUUUGGUUAUCACGAAAGAUUCGAGACUCGAUUGUUCAUCACUGAUUGAACUACUAAAAGGGAUUCACAAAACUCACGUAGCUCUCAGACAUCAGUAUUGACCCUUAUAUACUCCUGUUCCGUUCGGCUGUUUCUAACAAGCAGGUGCUUGUCAACAAACUUGUCAUGCCAUCUGUAUCGAGCAGCCUACAUGGAGCUGCGCUACGGCUGAUACUCAGCAAUGCCACCAAACGUAACCCGUUGUCUUCAGCGGCACUUCAAGAGCUUGAAAAAGGUUUGAAACUCACUCGGUCUCCUGAAGUUCGGGCGGUCGUCAUUUCUUCUGAGGGGCCAGUUUUCAGUGCCGGACAUGACCUUCACGAACUUAAAUCGUUAUCUGCAGUGCAGCAAUACGAACUGUUUUCGCGUUUUGGAAAGUUGAUGGUGUCACUUCGCAAUCUCGAAGUUCCUGUUAUCGCCUCGGUAACCGGUUUGGCGGCAGCAGCUGGAUGCCAAUUAGUUGCUGCAUGUGAUAUGGCGAUUGCUGGGCCGCAGGCACGAUUCUCAUUGCCAGGUGCUUCAGUGGGCCUGUUUUGUUCUGCACCGUCUGUACCUGUAGUGCGCAACAUCAAUGCCAAGACUGCCGCGUACAUGUUGUAUUCGGCAAGACCCAUAGAUGCUCAACAAGCAUUGGCCUGCGGCCUUGUGUCGCAUUGCGCCGAAUCUGACCAACAAUUAGAAAAGCUUGUGACGCAACUUGUGAAGGAUAUUGUAGACAAACCCCGGGAUGUGAUAACGUUAGGAAAACGUUUCCUUAAUGAUCAAAGAGCAAUAAAAGCCGAGGAAGAUCGCUAUGAAUUGGCAGCAAGAAUAAUGACAGAUAAUCUGCAAUUGGAUAACGGUCGUGAGGGACUGGAAGCAUUUGUGGAUAAAAGACAUCCCCUAUGGAAAUAGAAAACAUUCAUCAGCGCAUUGGAAAAGCUUCUGAGAGUGCAAAUAACUACAACUUAACGACCGCAAAAUUGAAGAAGAAAGGUUUGACUCGAAUUUACCCCUCUUUGGCUCUGGCAUCGCCCAACUUUGCAUAGAAGUCCGUCACCUUCCAUAGCAUCGUGCC